UACGGAGGGUGCAAGCGUUAUCCGGAAUCACUGGGUUUAAAGGGUGCGUAGGCGGCCCGGUCAGUCAGUUGUGAAAUUCCUCGGCUCAACCGAUGGGACUGCGAUUGAUACUGCCGGGCUUGAAUCAGGUUGAGGUAGGCGGAAUGUGGCAUGUAGCGGUGAAAUGCUUAGAUAUGCCAUAGAACACCGAUUGCGAAGGCAGCUUGCUGGGCCUUUGAUUGACGCUGAGGCACGAAAGCGUGGGGAGCAAACAGG
Molecule: ribosomal RNA, 255 nt
Filed under: uncultured bacterium
Lineage: Bacteria
Description: partial 16S ribosomal RNA
Rfam family: Bacterial small subunit ribosomal RNA
Source: RNAcentral